Molecule: ribosomal RNA, 492 nt
Filed under: uncultured bacterium
Lineage: Bacteria
Description: partial 16S ribosomal RNA
Rfam family: Bacterial small subunit ribosomal RNA
Source: RNAcentral
AGUGAACGCUGGCGGUAGGCCUAACACAUGCAAGUCGAACGGCAGCACAGUAAUAGCUUGCUCUUACGGGUGGCGAGUGGCGGACGGGUGAGGAAUACAUCGGAAUCUACUUUUGCGUGGGGGAGAGCGUAGGGAAACUUACGCUAAUACCGCAUACGACCUACGGGUUAAAGCAGGGGAUCUUCGGACCUUGCGCGAUUGAAUGAGCCGAUGUCGGAUUAGCUAGUUGGCGGGGUAAAGGCCCACCAAGGCGACGAUCCGUAGCUGGUCUGAGAGGAUGAUAAGCCACACUGGAACUGAGACACGGUCCAGACUCCUACGGGAGGCAGCAGUGGGGAAUAUUGGACAAAGGGCGCAAGCCUGAUCCAGCCAUACCGCGUGGGUGAAGAAGGCCUUCGGGUUGUAAAGCCCUUUUGUUGGGAAAGAAAAGCAGCAGGUUAAUACCACGCUGUUCUGACGGUACCCAAAGAAUAAGCACCGGCUAACUUCGUG